Sceloporus undulatus (fence lizard) is the source of this 1957-nucleotide long non-coding RNA. RefSeq lists it as uncharacterized. The transcript has 4 exons. The record is from RefSeq and is a predicted model, not a curated record. Lineage: Eukaryota; Metazoa; Chordata; Lepidosauria; Squamata; Phrynosomatidae.
AAAUGCAAACACAAAUCCAUCAGUGAACCCUUUAUUGGCCACCCGAAAUGCACAAUAUUGCAAGCUUUCACAACAAGUAUAUUAUGCAUUUUGGUUGUCCAAUAAAGGGAUCACUGAUGGAUUUAUAUCUCGAAUCCCUUCUUGACCAUGGAAACCUUCUUCUGGUUGACCUUUGGCAAGCCACAUACUCUCAGCCUCAGGGGAAGGCCAUGGCAAACCUCCUCUGAAGCAAUCUUGCCAAGAAAACCCCAUGAUAGUGCCACCAUGAGUCGGAAAAGACUUGAAGGCGCACAACAACAAUGACAGCUCCAUCCCUGAAGUGCCGUCCCCUUGUCUUUGCUGCCCGAGGCAGUUGCUCUUCUCUGCCUAAGAGUAGAGCCGACCCUGAAUCCGAACCAUGGGUGCAUUUAAGCCUUGCCAUACAGAUUGACCAUAGAAGUUGACCCCAUCUUUUCUUUCUCCCUUCCAUGAGCGACCGAUCGUCCCUUUCUUUGAGCAUCUCCCGGAGCAAGGGCCAAGAAAGCAGAGGAGAAGCACAGUGUUUUUCUUAUCUGGGACGAAAGAGAGAUAAUCUGACCAUCAACAUCGGAAGGCUGAUAACAUUCCAGGUGCUUUCGGUGCGUGCCGGACGCCAUGGUCGAAGGCCAUAAUAAACUCACUGCCAUUCCUGAAAAGGAACUUCGCAAGGGGAAAAAAGAUGGUGCCGUUUCAUACUACGUGCCUUUCCUCACAUCCAUCCUUUACUUUGCUGGAAUAAGGGAUAGCAAGGUCCAGUUUCCGGCACUGAACUAAUAUUCUUUUAUUUAUGAAUGAAACGAAGGGCAACCACAUCUCAUUCGAGUUGUCCAACCAAGCUGUUCCUGUGACCGAGAUGAAGCCGCACCCAAAGGAGCAGCGCAUUUUGCUUCUGGGAAAAAGGUUACCUGCCUUGCGCUGAGUCACGGGUCCCAAAUGACUAAUGCAUUGGAUGCCGCAAGAGAAAUAACCGGAGGCAGGCAGGGAACAAACCGGUGACGUCCUCCGAAAGUUAUGAACUUUGGGCCAGUCUGCUAACGUAACCAGAGGCCUUUGGAGAGCGACAACCUUUGGAGAGCGACAGCGGUGCAAAGUUCUCUCUCUCCGCCGUUGCGUGAAAGACCAGCGAAUGCAGGUCCCGCCUAACCAUUUGUCAACUUGACUGGGCUUCAGCUCUGCGCAGCCAGUCCCAGGCUGGCGAAAGAUGGCUUUGAAAUCAGAGGCUGGCGUAGCUGGAGAUCACUUGUUCCAGAGUUGUGAAAGAGUCCAGAAAAGCGUCUUCGUCCAACCCAAACUUGGCGUACUGAUGAACGUAAGCCCUGCGCGGAAUGAACAAUACGAUUCGGUGAGCAACAGGCCUCGGCGGUGGCUAUAUUCCCCUGAAAAAGUAACAGGGCUUCGGGUAUUCACAGCUGAUAUUAUUCUGCUGGUUUUAAUCUAUGGCUCGGACUUUCGGCACAAGAGAACACCCAUAUUGCCUUGUUCAGAGGUUGGGAAAGUCACUUUGGGGACUACACCUCCCAGAAUCCCCAUGGCAGCAUGAACAAUAGCUAAGUUGGCUGGCAGUAUUGAUGAAUUCCUUUUCAUUUUGUCCCACUGAGAAUUCGGAGUUAACGGCAUAUUAAAAAGCAUUUCCCUGACUUACUUGGAAGCGAACAUUUUCCAGGCCUUCCCCACGACGCCGUCAAGGGGCUUCAGCAAAAACUGGCUGUUGCUCACCAGAGAUGCGGAUUUCUCAUAUCUAUUAAAGGCUCUUGGGGUUUUCCAGAUGGUCAGGGUGUCCUCUGGAGCGUUUAGCCAAGAGGUAUAUAAAGCAGGGUCUCGGAAACCUCCUAUAACAAGAAUAACAUGCUUUAAAGCCGUGGGUGGUUGAAUCUGUGGAUAAAGAAUCUGAACACCGAGGGCCGACUUUACUUAAUUUUGAAUACAAAGUGUGCCGAAA